This 468-nucleotide ribosomal RNA is filed under the name uncultured bacterium. RNAcentral's name for it is "partial 16S ribosomal RNA". It matches the Rfam family "Bacterial small subunit ribosomal RNA", at positions 28 to 493 of the family's 1533-position model. The record is from RNAcentral.
GACGAACGCUGGCGGCGUGCUUAACACAUGCAAGUCGAACGGAAAGGCCCUGCUUUUGUGGGGUGCUCGAGUGGCGAACGGGUGAGUAACACGUGAGUAACCUGCCCUUGACUUUGGGAUAACUUCAGGAAACUGGGGCUAAUACCGGAUAGGAGCUCCUGCUGCAUGGUGGGGGUUGGAAAGUUUCGGCGGUUGGGGAUGGACUCGCGGCUUAUCAGCUUGUUGGUGGGGUAGUGGCUUACCAAGGCUUUGACGGGUAGCCGGCCUGAGAGGGUGACCGGCAACAUUGGGACGGGGAUCGGGCCCAGAUUCCUCGGGGGGGAAGAGGGGGGGAAAUUUGAAAAUGGGGGGGAGCCCGGUGGAAGAAAGGCGGCGGGCGGGAUGACGGCUUUCGGGUGGAAAACGGCUUUGGCCGGGGAGAAGCGGGGGGUAAGGGAAUGGGGUAAGAAGCACCCGGUUAACACCUUG